RNAcentral lists this long non-coding RNA (636 nucleotides) under Oryza sativa tropical japonica subgroup. RNAcentral describes it as "lncRNA OsKeNa_04g0019740". The record is from RNAcentral. Lineage: Eukaryota; Viridiplantae; Streptophyta; Magnoliopsida; Poales; Poaceae.
GGCUUCGGUGAGGCCGCUAUUGGGCUUGGCGGCGGGGUAGAGGACGCUGACGACAAGGUCAUCUUCCUUGUGGUUGGCCACGCGUUCACUGUGUUUGGGGAGCUCCUCCCCUUCUUUAGGCCGACGAGCGACGUGGAGGCGGCCUGGGUCAGCGUGCUAGGGAGUGGCGGCAGGGUAGAAGGCGCUGGCGGCAGGGUUGUCUUCCAUGCCGUCGGCCAGGCUAACCCUGUUUGGGGAGCUCCUCCCCUUCUCUGUGGGAAGCUUCUUGGCAGGCUAGAGGCGGUGGUCGAAUUCGACAGGGAAGCCGGCGGGCGGCGCGGUGGAGGCGGCCUAGGUCAGCGCGCUGGCAAAGGUGAUGGGUGUUGUGGAAGUCUUGUCGUUGGCAGGACUGGAAGCCGGCUGACGGAGGGGCGUCGAUCGAGUGUGGCAGAAGCCAUGCGUGGUAACCCUCCUAAGGGAAUUGUUGAGCAGUUGAGGUACCCCUCCUCCCUCCGCAAGGAGCUCUGGGUGAAAACCUUGUCCCUUUUUGGGACGGAUGAUGAUGGCGUCUCGCGUUGCAACCCUCGCGAGGGCGUCGUUUUAGAGUCUUUGCGCCGAGGUGGUGUUGUUGGCCCGAUGGCGAUCGGUCUCGCAUAG